RNAcentral lists this long non-coding RNA (958 nucleotides) under Numida meleagris (helmeted guineafowl). RNAcentral's name for it is "lncRNA (ENSNMEG00000004134.1)". The record is from RNAcentral. Lineage: Eukaryota; Metazoa; Chordata; Aves; Galliformes; Numididae.
GGGAUGGAACUGGGGAUACUGGGAGGGAGCUGGGGAUACUGGGAUGGAACUGGGAUGGAACUGGGGAUACUGGGAGGGAGCUGGGGAUACUGGGAGGGAACUGGGAUGGAACUGGGAGGGAACUGGGGAUACUGGGGUGGAACUGGGAGGGAAAUGGAAUGGAACUGGGAUGGAACUGGGGAUACUGGGAAGGAAAUGGGAUGGAACUGGGAUGGAACUGGGGAUACUGGGAUGGAACUGGGGAUACUGGGAGGGAACUGGGAUGGAACUGGGACGGAACUGGGAAGGAACUGGGAGGGAACUGGGAUGGAACUGGGAUGGAACUGGGGAUACUGGGAUGGAACUGGGGAUACUGGGACUGGGGACACUGGUGACACUGGGACUGGGGACACUGGGGACACUGGGGAUACUGGUGACACUGGGGACACUGGGACUGGUGUCACUGGUGAUACUGGGACUGGGGAUACUGGGACUGGGGACACUGGUGAUACUGGGACUGCGGACACUGGGACUGGGGACACUGGGACUGGUGAUACUGGGGACACUGGGACUGGGGGACACUGGGGACACUGGGACUGGGGGGACUGGGACUGCGGACACUGGGGACACUGGGACUGGUGUCACUGGUGUUACUGGUGACACUGGUGUCACUGGUGACACUGGGACUGGGGACACUGGGACUGGGGACACUGGGACUGGUGAUACUGGUGUCACUGGUGUCACUGGUGACACUGGGACUGGGGACACUGGUGACACUGGUGACACUGAUGACACUGCGGACUGGGGAUACUAGUGUCACUGGUGACACUGGUGUCACCGGUGACACUGGGACUGGGGACACUGGGACUGGUGAUACUGGUGUCACUGGUGUCACCGGUGACACUGAGACUGGGGACACUGGUGACACUGGGGACACUGGUGAUACUGGGACUGGGGACACUGGGACUGGUGACACUGG